GAUGAACGCUGGCGGCGUGCCUAAUACAUGCAAGUCGAGCGAAUGGAUUGAGAGCUUGCUCUCAAGAAGUUAGCGGCGGACGGGUGAGUAACACGUGGGUAACCUGCCCAUAAGACUGGGAUAACUCCGGGAAACCGGGGCUAAUACCGGAUAACAUUUUGAACUGCAUGGUUCGAAAUUGAAAGGCGGCUUCGGCUGUCACUUAUGGAUGGACCCGCGUCGCAUUAGCUAGUUGGUGAGGUAACGGCUCACCAAGGCAACGAUGCGUAGCCGACGUGAGAGGGCGAUCGGCCACACUGGGACAGGACCACGGCCCAGACUCCUACGGGGGGCAGCAGUAGGGAAUCUUCCGAAAUGGACGAAAGUCGGACGGAGCAACGCCGCGUGAGUGAUGAAGGCUUUCGGGUCGUAAAACUCUGUUGUUAGGGAAGAACAAGUGCUAGUUGAAUAAGCUGGCACCUUGACGGUACCUAACCAGAAAGCCACGGCUAACUACGUGCCAGCAGCCGCCGUAA
Molecule: ribosomal RNA, 515 nt
Filed under: uncultured bacterium
Lineage: Bacteria
Description: partial 16S ribosomal RNA
Rfam family: Bacterial small subunit ribosomal RNA
Source: RNAcentral